AAGUCGUAACAAGGUUUCCGUAGGUGAACCUGCGGAAGGAUCAUUAACACGUAUCCACGUAUCAACCCCUCUGUGCAAACGUAACAACGUAAAGGUCAGCCUAGUCCGCUGCUGCUUCGUAGUUGGUCUCAACGAUGGCGGGCUCGUUCUGUCCCUUCCCACUCUUCCGCUUGCGGAGGAGCAGGAGUGGUGCGCGGGAUAGGCCCGGAGAUCCAGAGCAGGCGGGCGUUUUAACGGUUGGCUGCCAUUUUUCCAUUGUUAGCCCUGUUUACCACUUUUUUAACCCCUUUGUACUCUUUU
Molecule: unclassified non-coding RNA, 300 nt
Rfam family: Eukaryotic small subunit ribosomal RNA (bases 1-46)